RNAcentral lists this long non-coding RNA (1548 nucleotides) under Salmo salar (Atlantic salmon). RNAcentral describes it as "lncRNA (ENSSSAG00000113271.1)". The record is from RNAcentral. Lineage: Eukaryota; Metazoa; Chordata; Actinopteri; Salmoniformes; Salmonidae.
GCUAUAUACAGGGGGGUACCGGUACAGAGUCAAUGUGGAAGCUAUAUACAGGGGGUACCAGUACAGAGUCAAUGUGGAGGCUAUAUACAGGGUGUUACGGUACAGAGUCAAUGUGGAGGCUAUAUACAGGGUGUUAAGGUACAGAGUCAAUGUGGAGGCUAUAUACCGGGGGUACCAGUACAGAGUCAAUGUGGAGGCUAUAUACAGGGUGUACCAGUACAGAGUCAAUGUGGAGACUAUAUACAGGGGGUACCAGUACAGAGUCAAUGUGGAGGCUAUAUACAGGAUGUACCAGUACAGAGUCAUUGUGGAGGCUAUAUACAGGGGGUACCAGUACAGAGUCAAUGUGGAGGCUAUAUACAGGGUGUACCAGUACAGAGUCAAUGUGGAGACUAUAUACAGGGGGUACCAUUACAGAGUCAAUGUGGAGGCUAUAUACAGGGUGUACCAGUACAGAGUCAUUGUGGAGGCUAUAUACAGGGGGUACCAGCACAGAGUCAAUGUGGAGGCUAUAUACAGGGGGUACCAGUACAGAGUCAAUGUGGAGGCUAUAUACAGGGGGUACCAGUACAGAGUCAAUGUGGAGGCUAUAUACAGGGGGGUACCAGUACAGAGUCAAUGUGGAGGCUAUAUACAGGGUGUUACGGUACAGAGUCAAUGUGGAGGCUAUAUACAGGGGGUACCGGUACAGAGCCAAUGUGGAGGCUAUAUACAGGUUGUUACGGAACAGAGUCAAUGUGGAGGCUAUAUACAGGGUGUUACGGUACAGAGUCAAUGUGGAGGCUAUAUACAGGGGCUACCGGUACAGAGUCAAUGUGCGGGGGCACAGGUUAGUCGAGGUAAUUUAGGUAAUAUGUAGGUAACGGUAAAGUGACAAUGCAAAGAUAAUAAACAGAGGGUAGCAGCAGCGUAAAAAUAGGGGGAGGUGGGUCAAUACAAAUAGUCCGGGUAGCGAUUUGAUUAACUGUUCAGGAGUCUUAUGGUUUGAGGGUAGACGCUGUUAAGAAGCCUUUUGGACCUAGACUUGGCUCUCUGGUACCGCUUGCCGUGCAGUAGCAGAGAGAACAGUCUAAUACUAGGGUGGCUGGAGUCUUUGGCAAUUGUUAGGGCAUUCCUCUGACACUGCCUGGUAUAAAGGUCCUGGAUGGCAGGAAGCUUGGCCCCAGUGAUGUACUGGGCCAUACACGCUACCCUCUGAAGUGCCUUGAUGUCGGAGGCUGAGCAGUUGCCAUACCAUUCGGGAUGCAACCAGUCAGGAUGCUCUCGAUGGUGCAGAUGUUGAACUUUUUGAGGAUCUGAGGACUUAUGCCAAAUCUUUUCAGUCUCCUGAGGGGGGAAUAGACAUUGUCAUGCCUUCUUCACAACUCUCUUUGUGUGUUUGGGACAAUGAUAGUUCAUUGGUGACGGGGACACCAAGGAACUUGAAGCUCUCAACCUGCUGCCACUUUUCCUUUUUCCUGUAGUCCUCAAUCACAUUGAGGGAGAGGUUGUUGUCCUGGCACCACACUGCCAGGUCUCUGACCUCCUUCCUAUAAGCUGGUACAGAGU